This 305-nucleotide ribosomal RNA is filed under the name uncultured bacterium. Its description in RNAcentral is "bacterial SSU rRNA". It matches the Rfam family "Bacterial small subunit ribosomal RNA", at positions 337 to 640 of the family's 1533-position model. The record is from RNAcentral.
GCCUACGGGGGGCAGCAGUGAGGAAUAUUGGCCAAUGGGCGCGAGCCUGAACCAGCCAAGUCGCGUGAGGGAAGACGGUCCUAUGGAUUGUAAACCUCUUUUGUCGGGGAGCAAAAGACGCCACGCGUGGCGUUCCGAGGGUACCCGAAGAAAAAACAUCGGCUAACUCCGUGCCAGCAGCCGCGGUAAUACGGAGGAUGCGAGCGUUAUCCGGAUUUAUUGGGUUUAAAGGGUGCGCAGGCGGAAGAUCAAGUCAGCGGUAAAAUUGAGAGGCUCAACCUCUUCGAGCCGUUGAAACUGGUUUC